RNAcentral lists this ribosomal RNA (287 nucleotides) under uncultured bacterium. RNAcentral describes it as "partial 16S ribosomal RNA". It matches the Rfam family "Bacterial small subunit ribosomal RNA", at positions 333 to 617 of the family's 1533-position model. The record is from RNAcentral.
CUUCGCCUACGGGAGGCAGCAGUGAGGAAUAUUGGUCAAUGGACGCAAGUCUGAACCAGCCAUGCCGCGUGCAGGAAGACGGCUCUAUGAGUUGUAAACUGCUUUUGUACGAGGGCAAAUCCCGAUACGUGUAUCGGGUUGAAAGUAUCGUACGAAUAAGGAUCGGCUAACUCCGUGCCAGCAGCCGCGGUAAUACGGAGGAUUCAAGCGUUAUCCGGAUUUAUUGGGUUUAAAGGGUGCGUAGGCGGUUUGUUAAGUUAGAGGUGAAAUUGCGGGGCUCAACCCCG